This 508-nucleotide ribosomal RNA is filed under the name uncultured bacterium. RNAcentral describes it as "partial 16S ribosomal RNA". It matches the Rfam family "Bacterial small subunit ribosomal RNA", at positions 30 to 523 of the family's 1533-position model. The record is from RNAcentral.
AUUGAACGCUGGCGGCAUGCCUUACACAUGCAAGUCGAACGGCAGCGGGGGAGAAGCUUGCUUUUCCUGCCGGCGAGUGGCGAACGGGUGAGUUAUACAUCGGAACGUGCCCUGUAGUGGGGGAUAACUAGUCGAAAGAUUAGCUAAUACCGCAUACGACCUGAGGGUGAAAGUGGGGGACCGCAAGGCCUCAUGCUAUAGGAGCGGCCGAUGUCUGAUUAGCUAGUUGGUGGGGUAAAGGCCUACCAAGGCGACGAUCAGUAGCUGGUCUGAGAGGACGAUCAGCCACACUGGGACUGAGACACGGCCGAGACUCCUACGGGAGGCAGCAGUGGGGAAUUUUGGACAAUGGGCGAAAGCCUGAUCCAGCAAUGCCGCGUGUGUGAAGAAGGCCUUCGGGUUGUAAAGCACUUUUGUCCGGAAAGAAAUGGCUCUGGUUAAUACCUGGGGUCGAUGACGGUACCGGAAGAAUAAGGACCGGCUAACUACGUGCCAGCAGCCGCUGUAA